GACGAACGCUGGCGGCGUGCUUAACACAUGCAAGUCGAACGGAAAGGCCCUGCUUUUGUGGUGUGCUCGAGUGGCGAACGGGUGAGUAACACGUGAGUAACCUGCCCUUCACUUUGGGAUAACUUCAGGAAACUGGGGUUAAUACCGGAUAGGAGCCCCUGUUGCAUGGUGGGCGUUGGAAAGUCUCGGCGGUCGGGGAUGGAUGCGCGGGUUAUCAGCUUGUUGGUGGGGUAGUGGCUUACCAAGGCUUUGACGGGUAGGCGGCAUGAGAGGGUGACCGGGCACAUGAGGACUGAGAUACGGCGCAGACUGCUACGGGAGACAGCGGUGGGGAAUAUGGCACAGUGGGCGGGAGCCUGAUGCGGAAACCUUGCGUGCGGGAUGCCGGCCUUCGGGUUGUGAACCGCUUUCGCCUGUGACGCAGCGUUAGUGACGGUAAUGGGUAAAGAAGCACCGGCUAACUACGUG
RNAcentral lists this ribosomal RNA (468 nucleotides) under uncultured bacterium. Its description in RNAcentral is "partial 16S ribosomal RNA". It matches the Rfam family "Bacterial small subunit ribosomal RNA", at positions 28 to 507 of the family's 1533-position model. The record is from RNAcentral.